ACGGUCCUAAGGUAGCGAAAUUCCUUGUCGGGUAAGUUCCGACCUGCACGAAUGGCAUAAUGAUGGCCAGGCUGUCUCCACCCGAGACUCAGUGAAAUUGAAAUCGCCGUGAAGAUGCGGUGUACCCGCGGCUAGACGGAAAGACCCCGUGAACCUUUACUAUAGCUUGACACUGAACAUUGAAUUUUGAUGUGUAGGAUAGGUGGGAGACUUUGAAGUAGUCACGCCAGUGAUUAUGGAGUCGUCCUUGAAAUACCACCCUUUAACGUUUGAUGUUCUAACGAAGAUUGCGAAACGCGGUCUCGGACAGUGUCUGGUGGGUAGUUUGACUGGGGCGGUCUCCUCCCAAAGCGUAACGGAGGAGCACGAAGGUUUGCUAAUCACGGUCGGACAUCGUGAGGUUAGUGCAAUGGUAUAAGCAAGCUUAACUGCGAGACAGACAAGUCGAGCAGGUACGAAAGUAGGUCAUAGUGAUCCGGUGGUUCUGCAUGGAAGGGCCAUCGCUCAACGGAUAAAAGGUACUCCGGGGAUAACAGGCUGAUACCGCCCAAGAGUUCAUAUCGACGGCGGUGUUUGGCACCUCGAUGUCGGCUCAUCACAUCCUGGGGCUGAAGUAGGUCCCAAGGGUAUGGCUGUUCGCCAUUUAAAGUGGUACGCGAGCUGGGUUUAGAACGUCGUGAGACAGUUCGGUCCCUAUCUGCCGUGGGCGUUGGAGAAUUGAUUGGGGCUGCUCCUAGUACGAGAGGACCGGAGUGGACGCAUCACUGGUGUUCCGGUUGUGUCGCCAGACGCAUUGCCGGGUAGCUACAUGCGGAAGAGAUAAGUGCUGAAAGCAUCUAAGCACGAAACUUGCCAAGAGAUGAGUUCUCCCACACAUCAAGUGUGUAAGGGUUGUUUAAGACUAAGACGUAGAUAGGUGCGGUGUGUAAGUGUAGUGAUACAUUGAGCUAACGCAUACUAAUUGCCCGAGAGGCUUAGCCAU
Molecule: ribosomal RNA, 982 nt
Filed under: human oral metagenome
Description: bacterial LSU rRNA
Rfam family: Bacterial large subunit ribosomal RNA
Source: RNAcentral